GCCGACGUAGCUCAACGGUAGAGCAGCUGAUUUGUAAUCAGCAGGUUGCGGGUUCGAGUCCCAUCGUCGGCUCCA
This 75-nucleotide transfer RNA is filed under the name Bacillota bacterium. RNAcentral describes it as "tRNA-Thr". It matches the Rfam family "tRNA". From Rfam's summary of the family: Transfer RNA (tRNA) molecules are approximately 80 nucleotides in length. Their secondary structure includes four short double-helical elements and three loops (D, anti-codon, and T loops). Lineage: Bacteria; Bacillati; Bacillota. The record is from RNAcentral.